GAUGAACGCUAGCGGGAGGCUUAAUACAUGCAAGUCGGACGGUAACAGGUCUUCGGACGCUGACGAGUGGCGAACGGGUGCGUAACGCGUACACAACCUACCUUUACUGGGGGAUAGUUUUGGGAAACUGGGAGUAAUACCCCAUUCGUUUGAGCUGCGGCAUCGCGGUUCAAAGAAAGGUUUACUGGUGAGAGAUGGGUGUGCGUCCAAUUAGGUAGUUGGUAGGGUAACGGCCUACCAAGCCGACGAUUGGUAGCUGGUCUGAGAGGAUGAUCAGCCACACGGGCACUGAGACACGGGCCCGACUCCUACGGGAGGCAGCAGUAGGGAAUAUUGGUCAAUGGACGGAAGUCUGAACCAGCCAUCCCGCGUGCAGGAAGAAGGAUCUUUGGUCUGUAAACUGCUUUUCUCAAGGAAGAGAGAUAGAGAUUAAUCUUUAGAGGACGGUACUUGAGGAAUAAGCACCGGCUAACUCCGUG
RNAcentral lists this ribosomal RNA (479 nucleotides) under uncultured bacterium. RNAcentral describes it as "bacterial SSU rRNA". It matches the Rfam family "Bacterial small subunit ribosomal RNA", at positions 28 to 507 of the family's 1533-position model. The record is from RNAcentral.